This 72-nucleotide transfer RNA is filed under the name Ictidomys tridecemlineatus (thirteen-lined ground squirrel). RNAcentral describes it as "Spermophilus tridecemlineatus (thirteen-lined ground squirrel) tRNA". It matches the Rfam family "tRNA". Rfam says of the family: Transfer RNA (tRNA) molecules are approximately 80 nucleotides in length. Their secondary structure includes four short double-helical elements and three loops (D, anti-codon, and T loops). Lineage: Eukaryota; Metazoa; Chordata; Mammalia; Rodentia; Sciuridae. The record is from Rfam by way of RNAcentral.
UGGGGUUUUGCUCAUCAGUAGAGCACUCGCCUAGCACGUGGGAAGCUCUGGGUUCAAUCCUCAGCACCACAU